RNAcentral lists this ribosomal RNA (1354 nucleotides) under Lactiplantibacillus plantarum. RNAcentral describes it as "bacterial SSU rRNA". It matches the Rfam family "Bacterial small subunit ribosomal RNA", at positions 75 to 1417 of the family's 1533-position model. Lineage: Bacteria; Bacillati; Bacillota; Bacilli; Lactobacillales; Lactobacillaceae. The record is from RNAcentral.
AUGAUUUACAUUUGAGUGAGUGGCGAACUGGUGAGUAACACGUGGGAAACCUGCCCAGAAGCGGGGGAUAACACCUGGAAACAGAUGCUAAUACCGCAUAACAACUUGGACCGCAUGGUCCGAGUUUGAAAGAUGGCUUCGGCUAUCACUUUUGGAUGGUCCCGCGGCGUAUUAGCUAGAUGGUGGGGUAACGGCUCACCAUGGCAAUGAUACGUAGCCGACCUGAGAGGGUAAUCGGCCACAUUGGGACUGAGACACGGCCCAAACUCCUACGGGAGGCAGCAGUAGGGAAUCUUCCACAAUGGACGAAAGUCUGAUGGAGCAACGCCGCGUGAGUGAAGAAGGGUUUCGGCUCGUAAAACUCUGUUGUUAAAGAAGAACAUAUCUGAGAGUAACUGUUCAGGUAUUGACGGUAUUUAACCAGAAAGCCACGGCUAACUACGUGCCAGCAGCCGCGGUAAUACGUAGGUGGCAAGCGUUGUCCGGAUUUAUUGGGCGUAAAGCGAGCGCAGGCGGUUUUUUAAGUCUGAUGUGAAAGCCUUCGGCUCAACCGAAGAAGUGCAUCGGAAACUGGGAAACUUGAGUGCAGAAGAGGACAGUGGAACUCCAUGUGUAGCGGUGAAAUGCGUAGAUAUAUGGAAGAACACCAGUGGCGAAAGCGGCUGUCUGGUCUGUAACUGACGCUGAGGCUCGAAAGUAUGGGUAGCAAACAGGAUUAGAUACCCUGGUAGUCCAUACCGUAAACGAUGAAUGCUAAGUGUUGGAGGGUUUCCGCCCUUCAGUGCUGCAGCUAACGCAUUAAGCAUUCCGCCUGGGGAGUACGGCCGCAAGGCUGAAACUCAAAGGAAUUGACGGGGGCCCGCACAAGCGGUGGAGCAUGUGGUUUAAUUCGAAGCUACGCGAAGAACCUUACCAGGUCUUGACAUACUAUGCAAAUCUAAGAGAUUAGACGUUCCCUUCGGGGACAUGGAUACAGGUGGUGCAUGGUUGUCGUCAGCUCGUGUCGUGAGAUGUUGGGUUAAGUCCCGCAACGAGCGCAACCCUUAUUAUCAGUUGCCAGCAUUAAGUUGGGCACUCUGGUGAGACUGCCGGUGACAAACCGGAGGAAGGUGGGGAUGACGUCAAAUCAUCAUGCCCCUUAUGACCUGGGCUACACACGUGCUACAAUGGAUGGUACAACGAGUUGCGAACUCGCGAGAGUAAGCUAAUCUCUUAAAGCCAUUCUCAGUUCGGAUUGUAGGCUGCAACUCGCCUACAUGAAGUCGGAAUCGCUAGUAAUCGCGGAUCAGCAUGCCGCGGUGAAUACGUUCCCGGGCCUUGUACACACCGCCCGUCACACCAUGAGAGUUUGUAA